GUCGAGCGACAGUAGCAAUACUGGAGCGGCAAACGGGUGCGUAACACGUGAGCAAUCUGCCCUUAAGACCGGAAUAGCCCAGGGAAACUUGGAUUAAUACCGGAUGUGGAGAAGUCAGGCAUCUGAUUUCUUCCAAAGCUUGUAACGGCGCUUAAGGAGGAGCUCGCGGCCUAUCGGCUAGUUGGCGAGGUAACGGCUCACCAAGGCUAAGACGGGUAACUGGUCUGAGAGGAUGAUCAGUCACACUGGAACUGAGACACGGUCCAGACACCUACGGGUGGCAGCAGUUUCGAAUCGUUCACAAUGGGGGCAACCCUGAUGGCGCGACGCCGCGUGGGGGAUGAAGGUCUUCGGAUUGUAAACUCCUGUCAUUGGGGACUAAUGGCCAGGCUCAUACCCUGGUUUGAAUUAACCCAAAGAGGAAGCAGUGGCUAACUCUGUGCCAGCAGCCGCGGUAAUACAGAGACUGCAAGCGCUACUCGGAUUCACUGGGCGUAAAGGGAGCGCAGGCGGACUCGUGUGUCGGACGUGAAAUACCGGGGCUUAACCCCGGUGCUGCGUUCGAAACUACGAGUCUAGAGACUUGGAGGGGUAAGCGGAAUUCUUGGUGGAGCAGUGAAAUGCGUAGAUAUCAAGAGGAACACCAACGGCGAAGGCAGCUUACUGGACAAGAUCUGACGCUCAGGCUCGAAAGCGUGGGGAGCAAAAGGGAUUAGAUACCCCUGUAGUCCACGCUGUAAACGGUGCGCA
RNAcentral lists this ribosomal RNA (750 nucleotides) under uncultured bacterium. Its description in RNAcentral is "bacterial SSU rRNA". It matches the Rfam family "Bacterial small subunit ribosomal RNA", at positions 61 to 815 of the family's 1533-position model. The record is from RNAcentral.